AUUUACAGUGUCUGAACAAUAUUUCUACAAUGUUUACCAUAUUUUUAAUGCAUUAAAUAUUUCAGCAUCUCAUCCCAGUACAAGCUCUUCUACAACUGAGUCUCAAACAGCAGAACCUACAAUUUCUGCUACAACAAACUCUCCAUCAACUGUGUCUCCAACAUCAGCUCCUUUAACACCCCCUGCCAGUACAAGCUCCUCUACAACUGAAUCUCAAACAGCAGAACCUACAAGUAAGUAUUGCAUAUGUGCAGUUGUCAAAAAAAGAUUUAUUUUAUCUUUGCCAUUAUGACAGUAAAUAAUAUUUGACUAGAUAUUUUUCGAGACACUUCUAUACAACUUAAAGUGACAUUCAAAGGCUUAACUAGGUUAAUUAGUUUAACUAGGCAGGUUAGGGUAAUUAGACAAGUUAUUGUGUAAUGAUGGUUUGUCUGUAGACUAUCGAGAAAAAAAUAUAGCUUAAAGUUGCUAAUAAUUUUGUCCCUGAAAUAGUUUUAAAAAUUUUUUUAUCCUAUUCUUUUAUUCGAGCCAAA
RNAcentral lists this long non-coding RNA (533 nucleotides) under Danio rerio (zebrafish). RNAcentral's name for it is "lncRNA (ENSDARG00000117597.1)". Lineage: Eukaryota; Metazoa; Chordata; Actinopteri; Cypriniformes; Danionidae. The record is from RNAcentral.